CCCGCUGAACUUAAGCAUAUCAAUAAGCGGAGGAAAAGAAACUAACAAGGAUUCCCCUAGUAACUGCGAGUGAAGCGGGAAAAGCUCAAAUUUAAAAUCUGGCGGUCUUGCGGCCGUCCACAGUUGUAAUCUGGAGAAGCGUUUAUCCGCGUCGGACCGUGUACAAGUCUUCUGGAAGGGAGCGUCGUAGAGGGUGAGAAUCCCGUCUUUGACACGUACAACCGGUGCUUUUGUGAUGCGCUCUCGAAGAGUCGAGUUGUUUGGGAAUGCAGCUCAAAAUGGGUGGUAAAUUCCAUCUAAAGCUAAAUAUUGGCGAGAGACCGAUAGCGAACAAGUACCGUGAGGGAAAGAUGAAAAGCACUUUGGAAAGAGAGUUAAACAGUACGUGAAAUUGUUGAAAGGGAAACGUUUGAAGUCAGUCGCGUCGGCCGAGACUCAAGCUUGCUUCUGCUCGGUGCACUUCUCGGUUGACGGGUCAGCAUCAAUUUUGACCGCCGGAUAAAGGUCGGGGGAAUGUGGCAUCCUUCGGGAUGUGUUAUAGACCUCGAUUCGGACACGGCGAUUGGGAUUGAGGAACUCGGCGCUUUGCGUCCAGGAUGCUGGCAUAAUGGCUUUAAGCGACCCGUCUUGAAACACGG
RNAcentral lists this ribosomal RNA (638 nucleotides) under uncultured fungus. RNAcentral describes it as "eukaryotic LSU rRNA". It matches the Rfam family "Eukaryotic large subunit ribosomal RNA", at positions 24 to 664 of the family's 3401-position model. Lineage: Eukaryota; Fungi. The record is from RNAcentral.